Erpetoichthys calabaricus (reedfish) is the source of this 714-nucleotide long non-coding RNA. RefSeq lists it as uncharacterized. The transcript is spliced from 3 exons. The record is from RefSeq and is a predicted model, not a curated record. NCBI's taxonomy places the organism in Eukaryota, Metazoa, Chordata, Cladistia, Polypteriformes, Polypteridae.
CCAGUUCAUAAGAAUGGUCAUCCCAUCCCAUAAUGGUCACUUAUAUGACAUAUGAAGCUUUAGUUCAUCAUGCAGUCUUGACUGCUGACACUGAUUGGACUAGACUGAGAAUUUGGCCAUACUGGAAUAGCUAAAGGGUCUGUCAGUAGUGUUGGUCCACCUAGAAAUGAUUGAUGGGCCUACUCAGGUGGGUCAUUUAGAGCAUCUCCUCAAAUUGGUCAUCCUGGCAAUACUGAGUGGGGUAUAAGUUGACCAUUCUGGCAUAGCUGCUUAACGUUGGUCAGCUUCAACUAAAAAGAUUGGUCAUUUGAAAAUUGGUGUUAAUGAAGGACCUUAAAUUCUUCCAUCAUGAUAUCUGUUAAAACUGGUUGGACUAAACUGGAGAAUUUGGCGAUACUGGAAUAGCCGAAGGGUCUGCUAGUGAUAGUCCAACUGAACAUGACUGAGGGGCUGCUCAGGUGGCUCAUUCUGCAUUGUCCCCUUGUCAUCCUCGCUGUACUGAGAAGGUUAGGUUGGUUUGGUUAAGCUGACCAUUCCAGCAUAGCUGCUUUCAAGUUAGUCAGCAUUUUAGGAAGGAUGCUUCAGCUAACCUGACUGGUCAUUCCAUAGUGGUCAUUAAGUGACCUUAAGUUGGCUCAUUGUGCUGGCAUGGCUGCUGAAACUGGUUGAACUAAACUGGAGAAGCUAAAGGGUCUGUCAGGGUUAGUCCAAGUG